This 293-nucleotide ribosomal RNA is filed under the name uncultured bacterium. RNAcentral describes it as "partial 16S ribosomal RNA". It matches the Rfam family "Bacterial small subunit ribosomal RNA", at positions 775 to 1067 of the family's 1533-position model. The record is from RNAcentral.
GGAUUAGAUACCCUGGUAGUCCACGCCGUAAACGAUGUCAACUAGUUGUUCGUGUCUUUAAGACGUGAGUAACGCAGCUAACGCACUAAGUUGACCGCCUGGGGAGUACGGCCGCAAGGUUAAAACUCAAAUGAAUUGACGGGGGCCCGCACAAGCGGUGGAGCAUGUGGUUUAAUUCGAUGCAACGCGAAGAACCUUACCAUCCCUUGACAUCCAGUGAACUUUCUAGAGAUAGAUUGGUGCCUUCGGGAACACUGAGACAGGUGCUGCAUGGCUGUCGUCAGCUCGUGCCG